AAGCCACGAGAAUAUAGCACUAUUUACUCAAAUUUUGAAAAUAUAGAAACGAGAGAAUAUGUACAAUAUCUUUUGUUCCUAUAUUAUAUAUCUGCAACUUCUCAAAUCAAACGAUAUAUGUGGGAUUGGUAACAGCUAUAUUCUAUAGAAUAUCUUAAAUACUGGCGUGGAAGAAGGGAAACAUAACAAACCAACUCAUAUAUAUAGAACCAUCGUCUCUCAUUUCCAGAACCAGAAACGACAUCCAUCGAACUUGACACGUUCGAAAAAAUCAUAGAAGCUUCAAGAGGAAAACAAAUCGUUAUGUCUUGAUUAUGGCGGUACUCUUUUUCCAAUCGUCUCUGAUCCAGACAGAGUUCAGCAAGAUGAGAAGAGCGGUGAAAAAACUGCCAAGUGUUAGUUACUGGUAAAUGCAUAGAUAAGGUUUAUAGUUUUGUCAAGCAAGCAGAACUGUAUUAUGCUGGAAGCCAUGUGAUGGAUAUUAAAGAUCCAACAAAAGGAUAGACCAUCUAUUUUUAAUCAACCAACUGGCGAUUUUCUUCCCAUGAUCGAUGAGAGUCUUCAAAAUUUCCGAGUUGUGUAUGUCCAUUCUGCGUGACCAACCUCAUGGUGAAUGCUCUUUAGGAGCUUCCUAAGGUCAUAAAUUAUUUUUUAUUUUUGAAAAAAAAGUCAUAAAUUAUUUCUCUCUACUUAAUUGGACUUGGUUUGCUGACUGUGGAUUAGGAAUUUUGAUCGUUUUAGGUUUACGUUUUCUCAACUGAAUUGUGUAAGAUUUUUGUUUUCUUUUGUGUGGUUAAAGUAGGAGGUGCUUACAGAUUUUUAUGAUAAAUGUUGAUAAUCUAAAGGUUAUGAUGUUUACUGAGCUCAUUGGCAGAGGAUGUAAUGUUCUUUUGUGUAUUGGAUCUAUGACGCCUUUUCUGAUUUGUUGGCCAGUCGUUGAGACUAAAAUAUAAUUAUAAAUUUUUUAAUGAUUUUGAUAUUUGCUGAUCUUAUAAUUUUUUUUAUUUCAUAUAUUAGGCUGAGAGAUAAUAAGACGGAAGGGGAGCGAGGAUUCUCCUAUGGUUGUGGAUCAUAAAAUUACUAAUAAUUCAAAGAAAACUAAUGCAAAAAAAUAAAAUUUUUAAACAUCGAUAAAAGUAUGUCAA
Raphanus sativus (radish) is the source of this 1145-nucleotide long non-coding RNA. RefSeq lists it as uncharacterized. The record is from RefSeq and is a predicted model, not a curated record. The transcript is spliced from 5 exons. NCBI's taxonomy places the organism in Eukaryota, Viridiplantae, Streptophyta, Magnoliopsida, Brassicales, Brassicaceae.